CGUGUAGGCGGCUUGGUAAGUCAGAUGUGAAAGCCCAGGGCUCAACCCUGGAAGUGCAUUUGAUACUGCCAUGCUUGAGUAUGGGAGAGGAGAGCGGAAUUCCCAGUGUAGAGGUGAAAUUCGUAGAUAUUGGGAGGAACACCCGUGGUGAAGGCGGCUCUCUGGACCAAUACUGACGCUGAGACGCGAAAGCGUGGGGAGCAAACAGGAUUAGAUACCCUGGUAGUCC
Molecule: ribosomal RNA, 229 nt
Filed under: uncultured bacterium
Lineage: Bacteria
Description: partial 16S ribosomal RNA
Rfam family: Bacterial small subunit ribosomal RNA
Source: RNAcentral